GGCUAGUGACAGAAUGAAGAAGAUCAGUUUAAAAUGUGCUUUACAACCAGAGGUUGCAUUAUUUUGACAGACAAGGGCUGUAAGAAAAUUGUCAAAAUCAAUAAUAAUAUGAGCCAACAGCCAAACAAUAACAACUAAACUCAAUCAACUAUCUUAAUCUGCCUGAACUCAAAUCUUGUGGUCUAUAAAGUGGGAGUUUAUCUGUGUGUAAUUCAACCAUCAUGUUAGACUGAAGGAAUUGCAGUUAUCAUUAGAUUUCCCGACAGCACUGGACAAAUGACUUCUCACACUCAGUGUGACUUGAGACAAAGGAUAAACAAAGACAUUGAGUAUGUUUACAUGCACAUAAUAAGAGGACAAUUAUCCUAUUAUGAUAUUAUAAAAAUCAGCUUAUUACAUUAACAUGUUUCAAGCGUUUUAAUUUACUUUUAUUUGUGAAGUUUAUCUAUCACAGGUGGAGACAUACGCACAUACGAAACGGCAAAAAAGACGUUAAAAUCUGGUUUAAGAGCAAAAAAACUACCUGUGCCAAUCAGUUUUUGCCAUUUAUGGGCUUUACCCUAUAAAAGAAAACCAUUUUAUGCAUUUAAAUGACCUUACACGUUAUCAGUUUAUUAAGCGUUUAGACUAUGUAGACACACUCACUGUGCACUAAAAUUAAAAAAAUUGGUUAACACGACCACUCGUGGUGGCUUCACUCAGAGGUUGGAGAAGACAACCGGUGGACUAAACAUCAAGCCUCUGCACGAUUCAGAAUUAAGACAACCUUAGCAGGAGAGCCCCAGCAGUAACUUUCUCUCAAGCAGAUGAGCAAUAAGUUGCUAACACCACCCUAACAAUCAAGUAGCCUGUUAACAGUAGACCAAAGGUAUGAUGAUCAAUUAUAAAUGCAAUAUGGUUGAAAGGUCAGUAAACAAACAACAAAAAGGUAAUUUCUUAAUAGAAUGUCUAUACAUUUUUUGCUUUUGUUACAUAUUUCAUACAUCAAAAUCAUUAAACGUUAAUAAUUAUGUAUUCCAACUUGUUGCAGCUUGACAAAAAUGUAGCUUGAAGGAGAAGGGACAGCUGAGUAACAAAGUCCUGGUAUGCAGACGACGAUACUAUUACACUGACAAGAGUGUAAUGAUGAUGGAGACACAAGCCAGAGAAAGGGGGGACCAAACACCAGGCCAGAAUUCUGCAUGAGUCAGAUCCAGUGGGUGCAGAUCAUCAUACAGAUGGUUCAAGUGUGGAUCCACCUAAUAUUCAAGAUUUUCUGUCCUGGGACACUCGGCUAACCAUCAAGAAAGAACACAGUAGGUUAACAAGAAUCUGACCUCACGUUUGAUCAUUACAAAAUUAUGGCAGUACAUUACACAUUUAAGGACUGUUAUUCCUCUGGCUGAUUUAAAAAUACCCAAAAGUUCUUAAAAAGAAGCAGCCCUAGUUAUUUUGGCUUGUUAAACAUAAACUAUAUAGACAUAACUAUUGCGACACCUCCUUCUAAUAAACAGGUUUAAAUACUUUACUUAUUUCCAUGAGCACAAAUCUUAAUGCUACAGCAUAUGAUAUUCUAGAAAAACCGUUUGAUGCUAAAUUUAUAGCAAGAGUUUUGGCAGGGCCCUUUUCAAUACCAACUUAAGAAUGACCCUACAAACAAAGUAAGGUUCAAACAGAAAAUUAGUGAUUCAGUCUGGUGUGGAAGAACUUUGACUGGUCUGAAUAGACCUUAACUCAGCUAACACCUUUGAUAUGACUCAAAGGUUUUUAGCCAAAAACUCAUCACCUAAACCUAUCAAUGACUUGUACAAGAAGCUGUAGUCAUUUCGGAACAGAAAAAGGCACUUACAAAACUGUUGCAACAAAAAUCAAAAUUCUUUGUAGUGGUAUUAUAUGGUAUAGCAUUUUUAUUUGUUUUGAUUGGACAUACUGGAAUAAAUAAACAUGUUUAUUAGAAUGAGGCCUCCCAAUACUUUUGUCUAGUGUAUUUGCCACAGACAGGGUAACGCAAUCCUUAGAGUGUGCUUCUUUGUAAAUGUGACAAAUGAAAAUGACCUGAUCCAUCAUUUCCAGCUCCAGUGGGCAUCCUUUAUCCAUCCAGACCCUCAUACAGAUGGUUGGAGUUUUGAUUCACCUAAAGUACCAUGCAAGAGAACUCAUUUUCCCUCUUGAGACCAUGGUGUGACCUGCAAGGUCGAAUGGAGACUGUAAGCGAGACAAUCUUGGAGUCACCUGCAUUCACUGGUCCAGUUGUUAGUCCAAUUACAGAUGGAGAUUAUAGAAGAGAAUGAUGUCUUUUCUCCAACAUCUUUCUAGACUGAUAAAAGAUCAAGACAGGCUUGAACAAAAGUUAACAGAGGGGCUUAUAUAGAGAAUGGUGAGCAGCUACACAUAAAAGAAGAACAUGGAGAAUCUGCCCAGAGGUGUUAACCAGCAAUGCAGCUAUACAACUUAAGUGAUGCAGGCGGAAACAAUAAUGCAGCUGCUGCAGAUGAAGAAUCCGUCCGUCUACCACCGAAGGAGACGCGGAAAAUCGGGAAAAGAUGUUCUUUGCCCGAGGAAGCAUUUGAUUAAUUUAAAGAUAUUGUGUUUCUUUGUAUGUUAUAGAAAAACGUUGCUUUUUUGCAUACACUCGUGUAAAUAUGCAUCUUAUGAAUGUUUUCCUUUGUCUAAUUUUAAUAAAUUUUACGCAAUCAA
Molecule: non-coding RNA, 2676 nt
Organism: Paramisgurnus dabryanus
Lineage: Eukaryota; Metazoa; Chordata; Actinopteri; Cypriniformes; Cobitidae
Source: RefSeq, a predicted model, not a curated record